GUGGGAGGGGGCUCCGGCACUGCGCGCUCGACUGCCGGGCUGGGACAGAGCACCGGGACUCGCGGCGGCAGCGGCAGCGACGCUACCCACCCUCUUCCCCAACACCCACCGAGCCAGCGAGCCACCGAGCCACAGGCCCUCGGGACGCCGAAGGGAGCCUGAUUGUGUGCUGCGGCCGUGGAGUGACUCUGGCUCUUGUCUUCCGGCAGGCGCCUCUGUUCCUGCCCAGCUGGAUUUGGGGGGCAGCACUGCCUGGCGCAGGGAGAUCAAAUGAGACUGCAAAGAAUCAUAACAUGAACAGAGAAUUCAACCAACUAAAGGUAUUAUGCCAUUACCCAGAUGCCACCAGGAGAGAUGAAGGCAAGACACCAGAUACUGACUCAUCAUGGCCACUUUCCCAUAGGGCUGCUACAAUUUGCUGGGGAUCUGUUCCAAUUGUAGUUGCCUUGGUUUUUCCCAUUCCCAGAGGUACCGCCAGUGAAGGCUGCAAGACAGCAAUUAUGGCAGCCUGCUCCUUCCUCUGGAAGCUCUGUCCCUGGGUGGCACUGACCUUAUGCCAGCCGGAACAUGCAUGUAGGAUGUGGCUGGAGACUCCUGCUGGGAAGUCUCACCUAGUCAGCAGAUGGUCCCCUGACCCUGCUUGGAGUAAUUUGAGAAUGGAGUAGAGGUUGAGGAUGAAAACUUAGAAGAGAAUAAUCCAUGAAAAUGAGAAGAAAUGGUGGAAGAAAUAGGAGGUAAACUUCAAGAGUAUUGCUGUGGAAUAGGAGAGAAUUUGAAGAAAGAUCAAUAAUAUAUAACAUGCAAUCAGCAAGACAAAUUAGAUCAGAGCUAGAAAGUGUCAUUGGGCAUGGUUAUCAGUUCACUGGUAAGACUGAGAACUUUCCCUCCAUAUUUCCCUCUUAAGAAGAUCUAUUACUUCUUAUUGUUGGUACUUCAUCUAACUAUGUCUAGAGAUAUUUACAUUUUCCUCAUAUUUCUCCCUGUCCCAUAGAAAUAGUUAAAAAUUUGAUUUUGAGAAGGUCAUUUUGGUCAUGCAUGGUGGCUCAUGCUGGUAAUCCCAUCACUUUGGGAGGCCAAGGUGGGUGAAUCACUUGAGGUCAGGAGUUCAAAACCAGCCUGUUUCAGUAUGAAAUCUGUCUCUAUUACAAGUACAAAAAUUAGCUGGGCAUGGUGGUGUGCACCUGCAGUCCCAGCUUCUCGGGAGGUUGCUUGAGCUUGGGAGACAGAAGUUGCCUGAGCCAAGAUCAGAUCACAGCACUUCAGCCUGUUCGACAAAGUGAGACCCCAUCUCAAAAAAAAAAAAAAAAGAAAGAAAGAAAGUCAUUUCUCCAUAGCUUACCUUCAUAGGCAUUGAAUUUAAAACACCGGAUGGCUAUGAAUGGCAGACUCACAAGUUUCUUACAAAUGCUCGACAUACUAUAGGAUUUGACUCUUUCAAUAUGGAAAGCUUAAUUUGUUUCAACAAAUGCUGCUCAUUGAUAAAGUCAGUAAAAUACUUUGUACUGAAAAUGCUACCACCCAUGAUAAUUGAACUUGAAAAGAAGAAUUGAACUACAACUUAAGAAAACCUCUGUGCCUAUAUUUAAAUGUAAGCAAACAAAAUUCUCAAAAUUCUAGUUUAAGCUGGAGGUAGUUAAUUCAUUGUCGUGGAUUAUUUAAAUGCUUUCAAAAUAAAAAUAAACAGACUCUGCUUUGAAGUCAUGCCGGCUUUGCAGGCACCAAUGGUAAGUGAUAUCAGCAUCUUUUCAACAUGCUGAAAUGUACAUAUCUGAUUCCUGUUGGCUUUUACUGAGUUUGAGUCUCACAGCACAGAAGCUUAAUCAAAACUAGUGCUAAAAUUUCCACAUAACUGACUGUCAAUUAUAGAUGUUUAUAUUGUAAUCUCUAGCAGCUCCAAUUUCUUCCUGUAAUGUAAAGCAUUUAUUCUAAACUGAAUUCUAAACCUAAUUAACUCUUCUUCAGACAUUGUCUUAUUCUUAUAUUAACUAAUGUAUUUAUCUUAAAUUAGAGGUCCAGUUUGACAGUCCUGGAGAUCACUUGGAAAUGUUAUGAUAAUAAAAAUAAAUAACAAUUGAGCAUCUA
Long non-coding RNA from Callithrix jacchus (white-tufted-ear marmoset), 2082 nucleotides. RefSeq lists it as uncharacterized. NCBI's taxonomy places the organism in Eukaryota, Metazoa, Chordata, Mammalia, Primates, Cebidae. The record is from RefSeq and is a predicted model, not a curated record.